RNAcentral lists this long non-coding RNA (2092 nucleotides) under Sus scrofa (pig). RNAcentral describes it as "lncRNA (ENSSSCG00025003757.1, ENSSSCG00035012212.1, ENSSSCG00055004824.1)". The record is from RNAcentral. Lineage: Eukaryota; Metazoa; Chordata; Mammalia; Artiodactyla; Suidae.
ACACAGAGUAGGGUACUUGCGAUGGAGACCAAAUGGCCCCCCGCCUGAAAUACUGGCUGCCCGGCCCUUUGCAGAAGUCGAUUGCUGACUCCCGUGUCAAACUUAUGGCAGAACUGGAAUGACUUCAACCCUGUAAAGAUGCCACAUAUAAGUGACAUCGUAUGAUGUCUAACUUUGAGAAAGAGACUCAAAAUUUUCAGCCAGAAGAAAUAGGGAGAACACACGGAGCCCCACGGAGAUGGGGUCAGAUCCUCCCCUUCUUUCAUCGAAGGCUCUGGAGCCGCUGAACCCGCCCCUGCCUCUCACCUUGAUCACACAGUGCGCAGGCGCCCUCCAACCCGCCACUCCGGUCCAUCCGCCACAACUGUGUGGCGCGAAGAGGUGGCCACACUGCCCUCUUGCUGGAAGCCCUCCUGGGGUUCCCAACAGUCCAUGAUCUGUUAAAUCCUUAUGGAAGAAAAAAGGUUGCAGCAAUAUGCCAGGCUCGGACAUUAUGAGAAAAUUCACAGUCACAUUAAAGCUCACGUGAUAACAACGGCAAAACUCCACGGCACAUUCUCUUUACCUACUAGGAGAAAAUCGUCUGUUACUGAUGUGUUAACAAUCAUGUCUUUGAUUACUAUUAAGAUUGCAUUUUUAUUUCACUUUUUUCUUUAUAUGCAAAUCUCUUAUAAGCUGCCUUUUGGACAUGCUUUUUUGGGGGGAUGGUGUUUAUUUUUCCUUAUAGACCUAAAGUCUUUAAAAGAUAAAGAUAUAAAACAUUGCUGUGUUUGCUAUGUAUUUUUUUUUUUUUUUUUGGUUCUUGGUGUUUUUUUUUUUUUUCACACUGGUGGCAUAUGGAAAUUCCUGGGCCAGAGGCUGAAUCUAAGCCGCAGCUGCCCCUAUGCUGCAGCUGCAGCGACUCCAGAGCCUUAACUCACUGCACCACAGUGGAAACUCCAUCCAUAUUUUAUUUUUAUUGCUAAAGGUGUUUUGUUUAUAAUAGCUAAGGAAAUCUAUUUUUAGGACAGAAGUCAAGCUCCCUGAAGCCAUGGAAAUAUUUCACUUCCCACCAGAAAUACAUUCUUUUGGUAUUAGCACAGAGCUUUUAAAACAAUAAACAUGGGAUUCACAUCAGAAUUGUCCCUCUCAAUUUUUUUCAACGAAGCUCAAUUCUCAGCCCAUAAAAACAGCAAAACCUAAACUUUCCCUUAUUUUAAUUCUACAGUUAUUUUUUUUAAACAAGGAGAAGUAUCCAAAGGAGGAUGCAAAAAAUCACUUGAAAAAUGGUUUUUUCCAGUCCUCCCCUCUCUAGUAGGCACGGUGAAUUCAGAACAUUUCUUUCGUGAGGAACUAUCACUAUCCCAAAAGAGUCUAACAGGAUGUAAAUGCAGGAAUGGAUUCUUUCCCAAAAUCGGCAGAAAUGAAGGAUGAAAGCCUUUGGCUGCGUGUCGUGGAGCAAAUGCAUUUAGAACUGGGAUCUCAGAACCUCAUUCUUUAGCAUCACUGCUUUCUUUAUCAGCCUCAUCUCCUUCUAAGCCUUUAGGAACCUAAGGCUAUCUAAAGACUUGCCCCGCUUGUUGGUAUCCUGAAUAACCAAUACGUCUUCCUCUCCUUCUGCAGCCCAUCAAGCCUGCUUCUGUGCCCUUCAGCUUGGGCUUCCUUAAGCAUAUGCCUUCAUGGUCUUCACUGUUCAUGAUUUUAAACUUGAGCUACAGCCUGACAGACUCCUGUGCACAACACACCUUCUGUGGCUGAUCCUGUGUCUCUUCUUCCUGUAAAAGAGAAAAUAAAAGUCACACCCAACAUCCCACCGAGAUAAAACCUACCGCUAAGAUUCUGGCACUUCCCCCUCCAACAUUUUGUCUAUGCUUAGGUAUAAAUACUAUAUACCCUACUGCUUCUCACUUUUAAAAUUUAAAAUUAUGUUGUCAUCAUUUCCCCAAACUAUAAUUCUUAGUAGUGUAUGGUAAUCAAUCCAAGGACUCUUCAGUAGAAAGAAACUUAAGCUGCUGUUUAGUUUUUCCUGCUUUUGGUAAUGUUGGUUAAAUAAUGGGGCUUUGCUUGCAUUCCAGUUACUUCCAUAGGGCAAAUUCCUAGGAGGGAAAUUAUG